Gadus morhua (Atlantic cod) is the source of this 1344-nucleotide long non-coding RNA. RefSeq lists it as uncharacterized. The transcript has 3 exons. Lineage: Eukaryota; Metazoa; Chordata; Actinopteri; Gadiformes; Gadidae. The record is from RefSeq and is a predicted model, not a curated record.
CACACGCACACGGUCGUGCGCAGGAGCACGCAAUCGCGUGACACCGGGUUGAAAGAAAGACGUCAACUCUGGAGUGACCGAAAAUUUGCGGUGCUGGUUUGUGUGACGUAAGUUCAACUAUGAUUGACUGCUAUUUAAAAACGGUUGAAUGCUUGAAAUACUAAGAUUAUGGAGUUGAUAGUGCAAAUAAUUAUAUUGCCGUUGUCAAAUAAUAUUAACAGGUAUUAACAGCUAAUAACAGAUAACAAAAGCGUUGCUUCAUAGGCUAAUGUAGGCCUACGUCGCCACCUGUCCCUCGGGUAGGCUAGCUAGUUCGUUAGUAAUUGAAAUUGAACAAUGAGAAAGGCUUAGAUAAGUACCAUACACAGCAUCAUGUUAGAAGGUAAUUUACACAAUGUAGUCGGCUGUUUGUAAAAAAUAGUUUGUUUUUAGUGAUUUACUUUUUUCUCCCUGCAGCUUCAAAUAAGCAUCAUACAUCUUAACUAUCUCUCUGCCAAUGCUAAUAUUUUACAUCUAUAAUCUUUCUUAUCUAUCUACUAUCUGUGUAUCUAAUCUGUUUUGUUUAUCUGUCUAUUCGGUUUGUCUGUGUCUUUGUAAAUUAGGUAAUCUUUCAAUAUGCCAGGCAGCACAUGUAAAACAUGCCCCUCCUGCAAAACCAUUCUGCCUUGCGCUAAAAAGGUUUGCAGCCACUGCAAAAUGGUCCAGCCUGUAAAGGAACGCCUCAAAAUUGCCUUGAGAAAAUUUGAGGCUAAGCGGGAAGAGUGGGCGUCUUCCCGCAAGAAGAACCACAACAUGGCUGUUGUCAAGCAGGAAAUGUUCCUCCUGCUCGAAAAGCUUCAAGCAGCAGGAUAUAAACCUGUCCUGCUGCUUGGAAAAGCCACUAAAAAGAGCCAUGUGGUCAAGGUGUUCACACCUCGUUGCACCUUGGCCACAUUUGCGGAGGAGUCCCUCAAAAAAAUGGGCUCCAUCCAUGAGUACAUUUGUCAAGGAUGGACCCCUUUUGCAAGUGGGACUGCAGAGGGGCCAGAAGAGGGCAGGGGGACCACUCAGGUGAAGACAUACAGGAAUAUCUAUGACAAUUAAAGAGGCUAAUCCUAUAUAUUGUUAUAUACUGCAUAUAUACUCCAAUAUAUUAUGCUACAAAUUACAAUAUACUAAGUCAGCUGUAUAAGUGCUAACCUCUUUUCAUGUUUGUUUAUGGUUAUUUAUGUGUAUAGAUGUGUAUAGAUCUGUAUGGUCUUAAUUUCAUAUUUUUUAAAACUGAAUUUACACUUGCACUGUUGAAGUUCCACUGUUGGACUUUGAGUGAGUGUUAUCUUAUGUCAUCUUAGAUGGACAUGGACA